This 702-nucleotide unclassified non-coding RNA is filed under the name Viscum cruciatum. RNAcentral describes it as "sequence contains ITS1, 5.8S rRNA gene, ITS2". The stretch from base 298 to 456 matches the Rfam family "5.8S ribosomal RNA". The record is from RNAcentral. Lineage: Eukaryota; Viridiplantae; Streptophyta; Magnoliopsida; Santalales; Viscaceae.
UUUCCGUAGGUGAACCUGCGGAAGGAUCAUUGUCGAAUGCUCGUAGAAUGCCGUUGGACAUGUGGACUGGUUGGAACAUAGGCAGCGGGGUGCACGGGAUCUCCCCCGCGUGACCCCUUUUGGUCGUUGGCGGCAUGCCUCGGGGGGCGUGUGAGCACUUUGAUCUACCUCUUACAUCGGCACGGGAAGUGCCAAGGCAAAAAACGGAUUGGAAGAGCUCCUGGUGGCCCCGUGCGGUGUGCGCCUUUGAGGCGCUCGCGGGAUCCACGAAGGUGACUUUUGAAAUCAUGCUAAAACGACUCUCGGCAAUGGAUAUCUCGGCUCCCGUGUCGAUGAAGAACGCAGCGAAAUGCGAUACAUGGUGUGAAUUGCAGAAUCUCGUGAAUCAUUGAGUUUUUGAACGCAAGUUGCGCCCGAGGCCGUUUUUCGGUCGAGGGCACGCCUGCCUGGGCGUCAUGCAUGGAGUAGCCCCUGGGCUCCCCCCGUUAGGAGACCCGCUAAUCUGGUCGACUUUCGAUGGGAGGGGUAAUGGGGUAGACGUUGGCCUCCCGUUCCAUGUUGCGCGGUUGGCUUAAUUCCAUGGUCCUUGGCGACAUGCGGCGCGACGAGUUGUGGCAGACUGUGUUUUUCCCAUGUCGGUAUGUGGACCCCUGCGGUCCCAUGGCUUCACUGACACUUAGAUGGAGCAACACUUCCGACCCC